GCAGGCUGCAACCCGCCUGCAUGAAGUCGGAAUUGCUAGUAAUCGCGGAUCAGCAUGCCGCGGUGAAUACGUUCCCGGGCCUUGUACACACCGCCCGUCACACCAUGAGAGCCGGGGGGACCCGAAGUCCGUAGCCUAACCGCAAGGGGGGCGCGGCCGAAGGUAAAACUGGUGAUUGGGGUGAAGUCGUAACAAGGUACC
RNAcentral lists this ribosomal RNA (201 nucleotides) under uncultured bacterium. RNAcentral describes it as "partial 16S ribosomal RNA". It matches the Rfam family "Bacterial small subunit ribosomal RNA", at positions 1300 to 1500 of the family's 1533-position model. The record is from RNAcentral.